Molecule: ribosomal RNA, 536 nt
Filed under: uncultured bacterium
Lineage: Bacteria
Description: partial 16S ribosomal RNA
Rfam family: Bacterial small subunit ribosomal RNA
Source: RNAcentral
UGGGGAAUUUUGGACAAUGGGCGAAAGCCUGAUCCAGCAAUGCCGCGUGUGUGAAGAAGGCCUUCGGGUUGUAAAGCACUUUUGUCCGGAAAGAAAUCCUUGGCUCUAAUACAGUCGGGGGAUGACGGUACCGGAAGAAUAAGCACCGGCUAACUACGUGCCAGCAGCCGCGGUAAUACGUAGGGUGCAAGCGUUAAUCGGAAUUACUGGGCGUAAAGCGUGCGCAGGCGGUUUGCUAAGACCGAUGUGAAAUCCCCGGGCUCAACCUGGGAACUGCAUUGGUGACUGGCAGGCUAGAGUAUGGCAGAGGGGGGUAGAAUUCCACGUGUAGCAGUGAAAUGCGUAGAGAUGUGGAGGAAUACCGAUGGCGAAGGCAGCCCCCUGGGCCAAAUACUGACGCUCAUGCACGAAAGGCGUGGGGAGCAAACAGGAUUAGAUACCCUGGUAGUCCACGCCCUAAACGAUGUCAACUAGUUGUUGGGGAUUCAUUUCCUAGUAACGUAGCUAACGCGUGAAGUUGACCGCCUGGGGAGUAC